RNAcentral lists this transfer RNA (73 nucleotides) under Ovis aries (sheep). It matches the Rfam family "tRNA". Rfam says of the family: Transfer RNA (tRNA) molecules are approximately 80 nucleotides in length. Their secondary structure includes four short double-helical elements and three loops (D, anti-codon, and T loops). Lineage: Eukaryota; Metazoa; Chordata; Mammalia; Artiodactyla; Bovidae. The record is from Rfam by way of RNAcentral.
UCCCUGCUGGUUUAGUGGUUAAGACUCUGAGCUUCCACUUCAAGGGGCACAGGUUCGAUUCCUGGCCAGGGAA